This 1899-nucleotide long non-coding RNA is filed under the name Pan paniscus (pygmy chimpanzee). RNAcentral describes it as "lncRNA (ENSPPAG00000044873.1)". Lineage: Eukaryota; Metazoa; Chordata; Mammalia; Primates; Hominidae. The record is from RNAcentral.
UGUGCAAGAAAAAAUUUAUGAAAUUCUGUUUAGCCUAAAAUUCAUUUAAUGUUAAAAUUUUAAUUAUAUGCUGUACAAAUUUCAGGUUUGGUACACAGAAUGUUGAAAUUCCUCAUCUUCCUCAAGAUUUUGAAGUUGCAAAAUAUAACACCUUGGAGAAAGUGGGAAUGGAGGGAGGCCAGGAAGCUGUGGUGGUGGAGCUUCAGUGUUCGCGGGACUCCAGGGACUGUCCUUUCCUGAUAUCCUCACACUUCCUCCUGGAUGAUGGCAUGCAGAGGGUUGCUUUUACCCAAAGUAGUGGAAGAUCUUGGUGUGCAAAGAACAGACGUCGGAAACCUUGGAAGUGGGAUUUAUUUCAGUGAUUUGCUCAGGUAUGUUCGAUCCUUAAUCACAGAAUCAUUACUGAGUACUUGCUAUGUGUUUUCUUCUGUCUUUCCUUGGUGAGGGAGUUUCUCAACCAAAACACAGAUUUAUCUAUUAUAUAUGACCUCAAUAUGCCUGGAAUACUAUUUCAUCUUCAACAUACUUGAUAAUAUUUAAAUCUGCCCUUGGGCCAGACAUGGUGGCUUAUGCCUGUAAUCCCAGCUCUUUGGGAGGCCAGGGCAGGAGGAUCACUUGAGCCCAGGAGUUUAAGACCAGCCUAGGCAACAUAGCAAGACCCCAUCUCUAUAAAAAUUUUAAAAUUAGCUGUGCAUGGUGGCGCUAAUAGAACCCAUAGUUCCAGCUACUAGGGAGGCUGAGGCAGGAGGAUCACUUGAGUCCAGGAAUUCAAGGCUGGAGUGAGCUAUGAUUAUGCCACUGCAGUCCAGAGUGGGCAACACAGUGAGAAGAACCCCAUGUACAUCAUCUGCCAACCUUAUAAUUGGUAUUGUGACAUCAUUUUAUGCAAGGAAACAGACUCAGGGAGGUCAGGGAACUUGCCUGAGGUUGCAGAGCUAAUUAAAGGAUAGAGACUGAGUUCAGGCCCAGGACAAAGUACAAUGAUCCAAGAUAUUUAAAGAGUUCCUACAAAUCAAUAAGGAAAAGAUAAGCAGAUGUGCAAAAGACUUGAAUAGAAACCCAAUAGCAAAGAAAAUGAGCUGGGGCCAGGCGCAGUGGCUCAUGCCUGUAAUCCCAGCACUUUGGGAGGCCAAGGCAGGUAGAUCACUUGAGGCCAGGAGUUCGAGACCAUCCUGGCCAAUGUGAUGAAACCCCAUCUCUACUAAAAAUACAAAAAUUAGCUGUGCGUGGUGGUAUGCACCUGUAGUCCCAGCUACUCAGGAGUUCGAGGCAGAGAGAUUUCUCAAGUCCAGGAGUUUGAGAUUAAGGGCAACACAGCAAGGCCCUAUGUCUAAAAAACUUUUUAAAAUUAGCCAGGCAUUGUGUCAUACAUCUGUAAUCCAAGCUACUCAGGAGGCUGAGGCAGGAGGAUUGCUUGAGCCCAGCAGUCCAAGGCCACAGUGAGGUAUGACUGAACCACUACAUCCAGCUUGGGAGACAAAGUGAGACCCAAUCUUUAAAAAAAAAAAAGAAAGAAAGAAAAGAAAAAGAAAAAAAGAGAGAGCACUGUAGUAACAGAACACUGGAAAUCAUGCAGAUGUCCAUGGACAGUGGAAUGGAUCCGUACAUUUUGGUGGAGUCCUACAUGAAGUCCCAUCCUGCAGUUUAAACAAGUGGACUGUGGCUACACAUGUCAAAUGGAUGAGCCUUAGGACCUUAGUGGAGCAAAAGUUACUAGAUGAUUCUAUAUACAGGCAUACCUUGGAGAUAUUGAGGGUUUGAUUCCACACUACUGCAAUAAAGCAAAUAUUGCAAUAAAGUGAGUCACACACAUUUUUUGGUUUCCCAAUGAGUAUAAAAGGUUUACACUCGUCUAUUAAGUGUGCAAUAGCAUUGUUUUUUUUUAAGAAAUGUACAUAC